CGCCUGGGAGGGGGCAGGUAGGGCGGGGAGGGGCGGGGCCGCGGGGGGAGGCCUGCUGGGGCCUCGUGCCCCAGACUCUAGGGGUGCCCUGGCACCUGGCCAGGCUGCGGGGAGGGGCCAGGCACAGGGUGGCCAGGAGCCCAGACUCCCUGAUCUCAGCGCCUGGAGCCCGGGGGACGCCCCGCCCCCAUCUCAGAACUGUGACGCGGAAGAAAGUUGAUGAGACCCCGGCGUUCUCUGGGCAGCAAAGGUACGAGAAAACGUUGAAAGAAAACCAUCGAUCAUUGGAAAAACACAACCCAGAGUUUCUUACUGCAGACUUGCACUGAAAGAAAGUGUAGAAGUGUUCGUGAGCCCGAAGGAAAAGGAAGCCCCUUGGAAGUGAAGGAUCCAGGAAUGAGAGAAAUCCUGGUGAACACGUGGUAAUUCCUAACUAACGCUGGUUUUGUAGCAUUAAUUAAUUGUGUCUUGUGGGAGACAAAUUGAUAGAGGGAGAAUGGAAAGUUACAAGGCAGAGCCAAGGGCUGAGCUGAGCACAGCUGCAUAGCCUGCGGGGGGAGGGGGUGGCGCAGGUGUCCUGGAUGCCACCCCAGCGAGGCCUCUCCAGCCAGUGACUGUCCCCUCUCCACACCUCCAAAGAGAGUCUCCACUUCUAAACUAGGAGUGGGAAUAACAAAAAAA
Molecule: long non-coding RNA, 681 nt
Organism: Mustela erminea (ermine)
Lineage: Eukaryota; Metazoa; Chordata; Mammalia; Carnivora; Mustelidae
Exons: 2
Source: RefSeq, a predicted model, not a curated record